GCCCAGACUCCUACGGGAGGCAGCAGUGGGGAAUAUUGCACAAUGGGGGAAACCCUGAUGCAGCGACGCCGCGUGAGUGAAGAAGUAUUUCGGUAUGUAAAGCUCUAUCAGCAGGGAAGAUAAUGACGGUACCUGACUAAGAAGCCCCGGCUAACUACGUGCCAGCAGCCGCGGUAAUACGUAGGGGGCAAGCGUUAUCCGGAUUUACUGGGUGUAAAGGGAGCGUAGGUGGCAGGGCAAGUCAGAUGUGAAAACCCGGGGCUCAACCCCGGGAGUGCAUUUGAAACUGUCCAGCUGGAGUGCAGGAGAGGUAAGCGGAAUUCCUAGUGUAGCGGUGAAAUGCGUAGAUAUUAGGAGGAACACCAGUGGCGAAGGCGGCUUACUGGACUGUAACUGACGUUGAGGCUCGAAAGCGUGGGGAGCAAACAGGAUUAGAUACCCUAGUAUG
Molecule: ribosomal RNA, 448 nt
Filed under: uncultured bacterium
Lineage: Bacteria
Description: bacterial SSU rRNA
Rfam family: Bacterial small subunit ribosomal RNA
Source: RNAcentral